Molecule: long non-coding RNA, 598 nt
Organism: Scleropages formosus (Asian bonytongue)
Lineage: Eukaryota; Metazoa; Chordata; Actinopteri; Osteoglossiformes; Osteoglossidae
Exons: 2
Source: RefSeq, a predicted model, not a curated record
CCCUGAGAGGCACUUUUCACCUGUUGCUGCCUUCCUGACAACACUGACACCUCACUGGGUUCCACCUGAACAUCUCUUUCGCUGAAACGAAAAGCAACAUGGAUCUACGCAUCGUGGCAGCCCUUCUCCUGUUCUCUCUGGUGGCCCUCAGUAGGUCUGAAGGGGAUGGAAAUGUUGACCCCCAGGAAGACAUGGUGAACGACGGGAGUGAUGAAGGUUCCAGCAUCAUCUCCAAAGAAUUGGACAACAUGAUGGAAGAAUCAAGUGGCCAGGAUGAGCUUCUUCACUUCAACAGUGUGUUAAGUACCGCAGCGUUGGACACAGGCUCUGGCAAUGGCUCAGAUCCUGGGAACUAGUGAACAAGACAAAUCUCUCUUGUCUUAGGAAGCCCUUUUUCUAAGGUGCUGACUCACUGUAUGUACCUGACUAAAAUGCUUAAUCAGUGUCAUAUAAUGGGAAAAUAAUAAAAGUGACAUGGAUUCAAGCUGAUUUUACAUUUGGAUUGUGAAACCUAUUUAAACCGAAAUCUAAUGUUUUCAAUACAAAAAAAAAAUCUGUAUUUACAAUGUUGCAAGUUUAUUAAAAGCAAUUACUGAAA